RNAcentral lists this ribosomal RNA (755 nucleotides) under uncultured fungus. RNAcentral's name for it is "eukaryotic LSU rRNA". The stretch from base 1 to 241 matches the Rfam family "Eukaryotic small subunit ribosomal RNA", at positions 1593 to 1831 of the family's 1831-position model. The record is from RNAcentral. Lineage: Eukaryota; Fungi.
UUGCUCUUCAACGAGGAAUGCCUAGUAAGCGCACGUCAUCAGCAUGCGUUGAUUACGUCCCUGCCCUUUGUACACACCGCCCGUCGCUACUACCGAUUGAAUGGCUCAGUGAGGCCUCCGGACUGGCUCGAAGAGGUUGGCAACGACCACUUCGAGCCGGAAAGCUGGUCAAACUCGGUCAUUUAGAGGAAGUAAAAGUCGUAACAAGGUUUCCGUAGGUGAACCUGCGGAAGGAUCAUUACCUAGAGUUUGUAGACUUCGGUCUGCUACCUCUUACCCAUGUCUUUUGAGUACCUUCGUUUCCUCGGCGGGUCCGCCCGCCGAUUGGACAACAUUCAAACCCUUUGCAGUUGCAAUCAGCGUCUGAAAAAACAUAAUAGUUACAACUUUCAACAACGGAUCUCUUGGUUCUGGCAUCGAUGAAGAACGCAGCGAAAUGCGAUAAGUAGUGUGAAUUGCAGAAUUCAGUGAAUCAUCGAAUCUUUGAACGCACAUUGCGCCCCUUGGUAUUCCAUGGGGCAUGCCUGUUCGAGCGUCAUUUGUACCUUCAAGCUCUGCUUGGUGUUGGGUGUUUGUCUCGCCUCCGCGUGUAGACUCGCCUUAAAACAAUUGGCAGCCGGCGUAUUGAUUUCGGAGCGCAGUACAUCUCGCGCUUUGCACUCAUAACGACGACGUCCAAAAGUACAUUUUUACACUCUUGACCUCGGAUCAGGUAGGGAUACCCGCUGAACUUAAGCAUAUCAAUAAGCGGAGGA